GGAAGGCUUGGAGUUAUUUGCAUCUAAGCUGGGGGGUACUUCUGCUCUUCCUUCCCCCAGGGAUGGAGAAAGGGCUGUGGGCCACAAGGUCUCAGUCCCUCCUCCCCCUGUGUUACAGCUGGAUAUUCAGUCCUGGGCUGGAAUCAUCCAGGCUUUGCUGGAAGCACGGGGGUGCCAUUCCCGCAGAAUGAGGCUAAUGCCAUGGAUGUGGUGGUCCAGUUUGCCAUCCACCGCCUAGGCUUCCAGCCCCAGGACAUCAUCAUCUACGCCUGGUCCAUCGGCGGCUUCACUGCCACGUGGGCAGCCAUGUCCUACCCAGAUGUUAGUGCCAUGAUCCUGGAUGCCUCCUUUGAUGACCUGGUGCCCUUGGCCUUGAAGGUCAUGCCAGACAGCUGGAGGGGCCUGGUGACCAGGACCGUGAGGCAGCAUCUCAAUCUAAACAACGCGGAGCAGCUGUGCAGAUACCAGGGUCCUGUACUGCUGAUCCGGAGAACCAAGGAUGAGAUCAUCACCACCACGGUUCCUGAGGACAUCAUGUCCAACCGAGGCAAUGACCUCCUGCUGAAGCUCCUGCAGCAUCGGUAUCCCCGGGUGAUGGCAGAGGAGGGUCUUCGAGUGGUGAGGCAGUGGUUGGAGGCCUCCUCACAGCUGGAGGAAGCCUCAAUUUAUAGCCGAUGGGAGGUGGAAGAGGACUGGUGUCUGUCUGUCCUCCGCUCCUACCAGGCAGAACACGGGCCCGACUUCCC
This 746-nucleotide unclassified non-coding RNA is filed under the name Homo sapiens (human). RNAcentral describes it as "abhydrolase domain containing 16A, phospholipase (ENSG00000224552.9)". The record is from RNAcentral. Lineage: Eukaryota; Metazoa; Chordata; Mammalia; Primates; Hominidae.